GACGAACGCUGGCGGCGUGCCUAAUACAUGCAAGUCGAGCGGACUUACAAAGCGUGCUUUUUAAUGUAGCGGGCGACGGGCGAGUAAGUAGUGGGUAACUAGCCUGUAAGACUGGCAUGACUUCGGGAAACCGGAGCGAAUACCUGAUAAUCCUUUUCUACUAAUGUAGAAAAGCUGAAAGACGGUUGACGUUGUCACUUACAGAAGGGGCCGCGGCGCAUUAGCUAGUUGGUGAGGUAACGGCGCACCAAGGCGACGAUGCGUAGCCGACCUGAGAGGGUGAUCGGCCACACUGGAACUGAGACACGGCCCAGACUCCUACGGGAGGCAGCAGUAGGGAAUCUUCCGCAAUGGGCGAAAGUCUGACGGAGCAACGCCGCGUGAGUGAUGAAGGUCUUCGGAUCGUAAAACUCUGUUGUUAGGGAAGAACAUGUGCGUGAGUAACUGCUCGUAUCUUGACGGUACCUAAUCAGAAAGCCACGGCUAACUACGUG
Molecule: ribosomal RNA, 494 nt
Filed under: uncultured bacterium
Lineage: Bacteria
Description: partial 16S ribosomal RNA
Rfam family: Bacterial small subunit ribosomal RNA
Source: RNAcentral